This 1728-nucleotide long non-coding RNA is filed under the name Sus scrofa (pig). RNAcentral describes it as "lncRNA (ENSSSCG00060036319.1)". The record is from RNAcentral. Lineage: Eukaryota; Metazoa; Chordata; Mammalia; Artiodactyla; Suidae.
AUAUCACCUUCCCAGAGAGCCUCUCCUGCCUGUCCAGUCCAGAGUAACUUCCCCAAAGCCACCCUUCUCUAUCAUUCCAGCCCUUGUUAGUUUCAUCAUAGCAUUUAUCAUUUUCUGAGAUGAUCUUUCUUGUUCUGUUAUUUGCUUUAAUGUCUAAAGCCCCUUUAAAGAAUGUAAGCUCCAUGAGGAAAAUGAAUUUGUACAUCUUGUUUCCUGCUAUAUCACCAGCAUUUACAAAAAAAAGCUGGCCAACAAUAUUUAUGGAAGUGAAAUAAAUAUGGAUAAAUGCAUAAUUAGUUAACCAAAUCUCUGAGUCUGGAGCUAUUGACUUUUCUACCAAAUAAACCUAUUUGUAUCAUACUUCAGACUCCAAGACAAAAGUAUGUCUCACUAGCCACAAUUUAUGGAAACAUAUUCAACAGUAUGAGAAAUGCAAAUCAAAACUACAAUGACGUGUCACCUCACACUGGUCAGAAUGGCCAUCAUCAAAAUGUUUACAAACAAUAAAUGCUGGAGAAGCUGUGAAGAAAAGGGAAUCCUCCUACACAGUCGAUGGGAAUGUAAAUUGGUACAACCGCUAGGGAAAACAGUAUGAGGGUUCCUUAAAAAAUUAAACAUAGAGCUACCAUUUAAUCCAAGAAUCCCACUCCUAGGAGUAUAUUCAGAGAAACCUAUACUUUAAAAAGAUGCAUGCACUCGAGUGCUCACUGCAGAAAUAUUUACAAUAGCCAAGACAUGGAAGCAAUCUAAAUGUUCAUUGACAGAGAAACAGAUAAAGAUGUGGUACAUAUAUAUAAUGGGAUAUUAUUCAGCCAUAAAAAUGAAAGAAGUAAUGCCGUCUGCAGCCACAUGGAUGGACCUAGAGAUGAUCAUACUAUGUGAAGUGAACAGGACAGAGAAAGACAAAUAUCAUAUGAAAUUGCUUGGAUGCAGAAUCUUAAAAAAAAAAAUGAUACAAAUGAAUUUAUUUACAAAAUAGAAAUGGACUCACAGUCUUCAAAAAAACCUUAUAAUAGCCAAAGGAGAAAUGUGGGGGGAAGGAAUAAAUUAGGAGUUUGGUAUUAACACAUACUCACUGCUAUAUAAAAAUAGAUAGUCAACAAGGACCUACUGGAUACUACAGGGAACUCUACUCUAUAUUCUAUAAUAACCCCUAUGGGAAAAGAAUCUUAAAAAGAAUGAAUAUAUGUAUAUGUAUAAAUGAAUCACUUCGCCACACACCUGAAACUAACACAACAUUGUAGAUCAACUAUACUUCAAUAUAAAAUAAAAUUUAAAUUUUAAAAAUACACAUUAAACAAAAACAAAAUGCAAAUAUUUGGGACCCACCCCAGACCUACGGAAUUAGAGUUUCUGGUGAUGGAGUCCAGGAAAUUUUUAUACCAAUCUCCUCCCAUGACUCUGAACUUUGAGAAGCACGGAACUUUGAGAAGCACUCAUCUAGUUCAAGUUAGGACACACUUUGAGCCCAGCAACUUCCUUUCUGCUGCAAAAAUUAUUAGAAACUAAAUGAUAAUUGCAGGUGCAGAAAUGCUUAGCACACAGGAGGUGCUCAAGAGACAAUGGUCUUCUUGCAUUUGUUUAUUAAAACAAUGUAUAUACCUAAUUGGUUUCUGUUGGUCAGGAUUCUGACAAUCUUUCUUUUUUUUUUCUGGAUAUUCAACCCACCAGAAGAGAGAAAGUGAAGUCAAGCGAACUGUGUAUCCAUAAGGAAAGAAACAAAAGAGG